Long non-coding RNA from Raphanus sativus (radish), 794 nucleotides. RefSeq lists it as uncharacterized. NCBI's taxonomy places the organism in Eukaryota, Viridiplantae, Streptophyta, Magnoliopsida, Brassicales, Brassicaceae. The record is from RefSeq and is a predicted model, not a curated record. The transcript is spliced from 3 exons.
AGGCGUUUAUCGAGAGUAAGACUCUGUUUGAUCUCGAGGUGGGCCAGCUGGUCGGCGAACGGAAACAAUGGCGAUGUUAUGUCGAGGAUCUGGGACCUUGAUAUAUGCCAACGGAAGAGUCCUCGGCAUUCCUUUCUCCUAUGGCUAUCUUGGGAUAUAUGGGUGAACUUGUUCCUCUGAAUCCAUCUCUUCACAUUCCAUGCCACAUGAUUGAUGCAUGGUCGUCGUGUAACUAAGAAAAAUGGCACUUUGCAACUCAUCAACUUGAUCAUAAUCUUAAACCGCUUCUUUUUCAAUACAAGCAACGGUGCCCUAUGCCUAUAGACAGCGGUAGUGAAGUCUGAAGGGUUCAAGCAUUUGAAACAGAGUUGUCCCUCUUUGUUGUCUGAGUGCAGAAGCGGAUAAGAGCUGGACGAUCAGACAAGAAAAGAGGAAGUGUGAUACAUACAGGCACUAGAAAUGUGAAGGCAAGCGAAGAGGAUGUGGAUUCAAAUGAACUUGCAAUUAACCAUUCAUUCCUCUAAGCCUUGUUUUGGCCGCUUCAAAUGAACUUCUGAUGCUUCAUUACUGAUAUGAUAAGGGAUAAAUUUGUACACAUAGUAUGUCUCAAAAGUAGCCUAAAAGCUUUGUAGGCAAUGAUGAAACUCUCUGUUCAUGGAGUUUUGGAGUCGGCUCAAAAGUUGGGAUGAAAUUCCCUUUGAUAUGUAUGUAAGUGAUAUGACUCAUCAUGGCUGUGUUUAUGAAUGAAAUUUUUUUGGGACCUGUGACAAGCAACUGAAGCAAGAAAUGCACUG